AAUAAAUACUCAACCUCGCUCGGUAAAAAAUAGUAAAGUAUCGCAUGGAAUAUAAUAGCAAGUUUAUAGUUAGUUUAAAACUAAACAUGAAUGAUAAAGUUGUUAUUUUUAUGGCAACAUUAUUAACAUUUUGUACCUGUGGGGCAAACACCAUUGAAAGAGCAAAAGGUACUGGGACCAGUGAACCUGAAUCCACGUACACCUUGGAACCCAUGACAUCAGAAGGAACUACUUUAAUGAAUUAUGCUAAGACUCCGUGCCAGGAAUUGGUUCUAAUUGAAGAACCAGUUAUUGUAGAAGAAUGGCCUGAACCUGAAAUCGAAUAUCCUUUAUCUGAAGACAGUGUUGUAAUGGAUGAACCAGUAUAUUAUUCUUAAUUAAUAUAAUUCCUUUAAUUGUU
Anthonomus grandis grandis is the source of this 400-nucleotide long non-coding RNA. RefSeq lists it as uncharacterized. The transcript has 2 exons. Lineage: Eukaryota; Metazoa; Arthropoda; Insecta; Coleoptera; Curculionidae. The record is from RefSeq and is a predicted model, not a curated record.